This 1046-nucleotide ribosomal RNA is filed under the name uncultured archaeon. RNAcentral describes it as "bacterial SSU rRNA". It matches the Rfam family "Archaeal small subunit ribosomal RNA", at positions 6 to 1055 of the family's 1478-position model. The record is from RNAcentral.
GGUUGAUCCUGCCGGAGGUUACUGCUAUCGGUGUUUGACUAGGCCAUGCGAGUCAAAUGUUCUUCGUGAACAUGGCGUAAUGCUCAGUAACACGUGGAUAACCUGCCCUUAGGUCCGGCAUAAUCUCGGGAAACUGAGGAUAAUUCCGGAUAGCUCUUUUUGGCCGGAAAUGCAUUAAGAGUAAAAGUAUCUCGCCUAAGGAUGGGUCUGCGGCCUAUCAGGUAGUAGAGGGUGUAACGCACCUUCCAGCCGACAACGGGUACGGGUUGUGAGAGCAAGAGCCCGGAGAUGGAUUCUGAGACAUGAAUCCAGGCCCUACGGGGCGCAGCAGGCGCGAAAACUUUACAAUGCAGGAAACUGUGAUAAGGAAACACCGAGUGCCCGCAUCUAAUGCGGGCUGUCCGCGUACCCAAAUCGUACGCGUCAGCAAGGACCGGGCAAUACCGGUGCCAGCCGCCGCGGUAAUACCGGUGGUCCGAGUGGUAGCCGCUUUUAUUUGGUCUAAAGGGUCCGUAGCCGGUCCGGUCAGUCCAUUGGUAAAUCCGCGCGCUCAACACGCGGUCUUCAGUGGAUACUCCCGGACUUGGGACCGGGAGAGGUAAGAGGUACUAUAGGGGUAGGAGUGAAAUCCUGUAAUCCUCAUGAGACCACCUGUGGCGAAGGCGUCUUACCGGAACGGGUCCGACGGUGAGGGACGAAAGCUGGGGGCACGAACCGGAUUAGAUACCCGGGUAGUCCCAGCCGUAAACUAUGCCCGCUGGGUGUCAGGCAUGGCAUGACUGUGUCCGGUGCCGUAGAGAAGUCGUGAAGCGGGCCACCUGGGAAGUACGGCCGCAAGGCUGAAACUUAAAGGAAUUGGCGGGGGAGCACUACAACGGGUGGAGCCUGCGGUUUAAUUGGACUCAACGCCGGAAAACUCACCAGGGGGGACAGCAAUAUGUAGGUCAGGCUGAAGGUCUUACCCGAAUCGCUGAGAGGAGGUGCAUGGUCGUCGCCAGUUCGUACUGUGAAGCAUCCUGUUAAGUCAGGCAACGAGCGAGACCCUU